This 228-nucleotide ribosomal RNA is filed under the name uncultured bacterium. RNAcentral describes it as "partial 16S ribosomal RNA". It matches the Rfam family "Bacterial small subunit ribosomal RNA", at positions 28 to 258 of the family's 1533-position model. The record is from RNAcentral.
GACGAACGCUGGCGGCGUGCUUAACACAUGCAAGUCGAGCGGUAAGGCCCUUUCGGGGGUACACGAGCGCGAACGGGUGAGUAACACGUGGGUGACCUGCCCUCAGCUCUGGGAUAAGCCUGGGAAACCGGGUCUAAUACUGGAUAUGACUCCAUGACGCAUGUUGUGGGGUGGAAAGCCUUGUGCGGCUGAGGAUGGGCCCGCGGCCUAUCAGCUUGUUGGUGGGGG